RNAcentral lists this ribosomal RNA (424 nucleotides) under uncultured bacterium. Its description in RNAcentral is "partial 16S ribosomal RNA". It matches the Rfam family "Bacterial small subunit ribosomal RNA", at positions 360 to 776 of the family's 1533-position model. The record is from RNAcentral.
AAUAUUUGACAAUGGGCGAAAGCCUGAUCCAGCCAUGCCGCGUGUGUGAAGAAGGNCUNNGGAUUNUNAAGCACUUUAAGUUUNNNNNAAGGGGUUGAAGCUAAUACCUUCAAUCUUUGACGUUACCAACAGAAUAAGCACCGCCUAACUCUGUGCCAGCAGCCGCGGUAAUACAGAGGGUGCAAGCGUUAAUCGGAAUUACUGGGCGUAAAGCGCGCGUAGGUGGUUCGUUAAGUUGGAAGUGAAAGCCCCGGGCUUAACCUGGGAAUUGCUUUCAAAACUGACGAGCUAGAGUACGGUAGAGGGUAGUGGAAUUUCCUGUGUAGCGGUGAAAUGCGUAGAUAUAGGAAGGAACAUCAGUGGCGAAGGCGACUACCUGGGCUAAUACUGACACUGAGGUGCGAAAGCGUGGGGAGCAAACAGG